CCUACGGGGGGCAGCAGUGGGGAAUAUUGCACAAUGGGCGCAAGCCUGAUGCAGCCAUGCCGCGUGUGUGAAGAAAGCCUUCGGGUUGUAAAGCACUUUCAGCGGGGAGGAAGGCGUUAAGGUUAAUAACCUUGGCGAUUGACGUUACCCGCAGAAGAAGCACCGGCUAACUCCGUGCCAGCAGCCGCGGUAAUACGGAGGGUGCAAGCGUUAAUCGGAAUUACUGGGCGUAAAGCGCACGCAGGCGGUCUGUCAAGUCGGAUGUGAAAUCCCCGGGCUCAACCUGGGAACUGCAUUCGAAACUGGCAGGCUAGAGUCUUGUAGAGGGGGGUAGAAUUCCAGGUGUAGCGGUGAAAUGCGUAGAGAUCUGGAGGAAUACCGGUGGCGAAGGCGGCCCCCUGGACAAAGACUGACGCUCAGGUGCGAAAGCGUGGGGAGCAAACAGGAUUAGAUACCCCUGUAGUC
RNAcentral lists this ribosomal RNA (465 nucleotides) under uncultured Klebsiella sp. RNAcentral describes it as "bacterial SSU rRNA". It matches the Rfam family "Bacterial small subunit ribosomal RNA", at positions 338 to 795 of the family's 1533-position model. The record is from RNAcentral. Lineage: Bacteria; Pseudomonadati; Pseudomonadota; Gammaproteobacteria; Enterobacterales; Enterobacteriaceae.